RNAcentral lists this long non-coding RNA (3499 nucleotides) under Homo sapiens (human). Its description in RNAcentral is "HSALNT0137542". Lineage: Eukaryota; Metazoa; Chordata; Mammalia; Primates; Hominidae. The record is from RNAcentral.
CUGUUGUAUUUUGUUAACAGUGACAAUGACAAGCACUAACAGGAUGCUCCCGCUGUGAUUGAGAAUGUCAUUCCUGGGAGGAGGUAAUAUUAUCUCCAUUUACGGAUAAGGAAGCUGAGGCUUGAAAGAGACAAAUAAUGUGCCCAAGCUCAUACAGUCUAUAAGUGGGGGCUCUGGGACUCCAGAAAUUGUGUGUUGUGCUUGCCUCUAGAGGACAGGUGACACUGAGAGAGUGCUUCCUUGUGCCAGGCCCCAGGACCUGAGUGGGCCUACAUGCACCAUCUCACGAUGUCUCCACAGCAAUCUCCCCAGUGACCGAUGAGGAAAUGGAGCUCAGAGACAUUACCUUGCCAAAGUAGCCUGAGUCGAAGCUGUUAAAGAGGCCAAGAAUUCCCAAGCUUUCCCAGGCAAACGGGGAAGAACACUGGGAUGCCUUUUCCUCCUCCUCUGUCCAUCUGCAGGCCAAGUGUGCAUCAGUCACAGGCAAACUCUGAAUUGAGCUUUGUGCAAGUCUCUGGAAAGAGACCCAAGAUCGUGUGAUGAGCAAAAGUGACAGUGCUGGAGGCAGCGACAUCUGCAGAGCCAGCCCCAUCCCUAUCUGCAGCAGAAUAUGUAUGGGGAUCCUUUAUGUGAACAAUCCACCCAGGGUAGAAUGGGGCUUUUGACAUCAGCUGAGACCCAGGCGGCCUUACAAUGAGAGGGCUGUUGGUCAAAGGAAGGACUGUUUAAUGAACUGAGAAUCUGAGGCCAGCUCUGGCCAUCUGCACUUGGAAUCAUUAGAGCAACUCUACUGUAACUGGCAACCUUGAAUAAUGCAGCAAAUUCAUAUUCCAAAAUUGUGAACUUUAAAAUUUUGUGUUUGUGUCUAUGAUGAAAAGCAUUAUAUAAACAUUUGAUACUACAAUUUUAUUAGUAAGGAAGGCUGAAAAAGUAUCUCUCUUUUGACUCUGAGGUCAAUAAUGAUAAUGGCUUUUCCCCUACACUGGGAUAGAAAUGUUCUGUCAAGGAUAUGAAAACACUUUAUGAAAAUGAAAUUCAUUAAAGCCCUUAAUAAUCAGGUAGGGAAGGCAGGUGCUCACAAUUGUCACCUGUUGGUGAGUGAACACCUUAGGCUCGGGGAGGACAAUGACUCAAGAACAAGGUCGAAUUGCAGGUGGGGGGUGAAGCUGAUCCCUAACAGUGUCCUCCAGCCCCUGGCACUGAGGAAGGACAUGGAGGGCUUGCAUCGACUUUUCCUGGCAGGCUUGUGAUUCCCAGCCAGAAUGCAGGUGGCAAUGUUGUGAUUCCUGGCGUAACCUUCAAUGCUUCAAUGAUAAUCUCUGCUGGUGCCAGGCACCAGCUGAGUGUCACUGUGCAGCUCCCAGGCUUAAGUGAUGCAUGCCGAGGUUUUCAGAGCAGUCUCUCAUUUAUUAGUUGUGUUGGAAAGAAAUCUGUACUACCUAACUGGGUACCUCUGGAUUUUAACAGCUGUGGUUUAUAAGAGAUAUGAGAGGGGGUUUGUUUUCAAAGUGCCUUUCACAAAGUAACACCUUAGACUGUAGUUUACAUUCCAUUCCAGUAGGAUAACUUGCAACACUUCUGUGCUCAGAAAUCCAACUGUGCAAGAAAAGUCAGGUUAUAUUUUCAUACAGCCCGUUCUGGCAAAUAUGCCUUCACACCACUUUCCCUCCUCCUCACCGCUAUUGGCAAUAGUCCCAAUGGAAGAGUUUUAUGUCAAAUGCUGAGUAUCUUGGAAGCUGUCCUGCACAGACACGACUGCUUGGCUGCGUGUUGGAGAGUCGCGGUUGGACUGGGAGACCAGGAAGGUCCCUUCUGGUCUGAGAUGUGAUGACUCUAGAACUAAUUAGUUUCAACUCAUAACACGAAAUGAUACUAGCUACCAUUUGGUGGGCUUUUUCUGUGUUCCAGGCUCUGUGCUAAGAUCUUAGCAUUACUCUAAUUACAAAAUCCCUGCCAAUAUUAUCCUCAGUUUACGCAAGAACAAAUGGGUUUAGGGAAAUCAAAAACUUGUCCAAUGACACAGAUUUAAGAUUUAGCAACUGAUGGCCACGUGGAAAUGGAUUACAGAUUAUUCUAAUUGGACACUCUAAACGUGCAAUUUAACCAGAAUGAAAUUUAGGGCUGCGUGCUGUGGCUCAUGCCUGUAAUCCUAGCACUUUGGGAAGCCAGGUGUAUCCCUUAAGCCCAGGAGUUUGAGAGCAACUUGGGCAACAUGGUGAAACCUGUAUCUACAAAAAAUACAAAAAUUAGCCAGGUGAGGUGGUGUAUGCCUGUAGUUCCAGCUACUUGGGAGGCUGAGAGAUGGGAGGAUUGGUUGAGCCUAGGAGGUCGAGGCUGCUGUGAGCUGUGAUGGUUCCACUGCACUCCAGCCUGGGCGACAGAGACAGACUCCAUCUCAAAAAAAAAAAAAAAAAAAGUAGCUACCUUGUGGUUGCACUCGUCUGAGACUAGCUCAUGGCUCCAGCUCUCAGGGUGGUGAGUAAUGAUUCUGUGGUCAGACGCAGUUUUGAAGUCAGGCAAGAAAACCUUCAACAAGAGUUAGAGAUGUCCUGUCUAUGAAUUUCUCCUCUAGGCUUAGGGAUAGCCCUGGGAUUCAUGUCAUGCCAGUUAGGGAUCCACUCAUUGUAAGCAAUACAAGUGCCCCCGAAGAGACAGUGCAUUAAUUGUCACCCCUUAGGAGCAUUGUGUGAAUUAGUGUGAUUUAGCACAUGCCCAGAGGGAUGAAACUCUAGCUCCAUAGGGUAGGUCCUGAUUACUCCUGGAGCAGGCAGCCAGCUCAGCUCAUGGGGAGCUCUGAGAAGUCUCUCAAUGCCUCGCAUGCAGCCCCUGCUCAGGAGUCAUGUGUCACUUCACAGUCUUGCUUUCCAGUGGGUCAAAGCAUGAUGUUUAUGAGAAACAAAUACACAAAAUUCUGACUUGUGUGAAUACAGAACACGUGCAAUAAAACGACUGCAAUCUAUUUUUAAAAUGUGGUCUGAGAAGUCAGGUUUAAUAUGACUAUGUAAUAUAUAAACAAUAUAUUUUCCACAGAAAGGAAAAUAUAAAUAAUAAAAUAUGUCUAUUUCUUUUUUUUGGUGGAAAAUUACUCCCACAAUUUGGUCCCAAGGGGGUCUUAAUUUGUCAUCAGGUCUGUGGCUAAAUGUCUUAUAAAGGAAUGCUUCUUUCUUUCGAGAAGUGUACAGGAACAGUCUGCACUGACUGCUUUUACCUGUAAAUGUUUUGAGAAUUCAGAAGUCACUUUCCUUCCACAAUAGGUGCUAGGCAUUUUAUUUAAAUAAAGCAAAAACAUUUCUGUCAUAAAGAAGGUGUUAAUAACCUCAAAGCUAUGCGAAAUAUACUAGUACAAUCUAAUACUCAUGGUGAAAAAUACAGUAAUUAAGAGCAAUUCAAGUUUUUUUGUUUUGGUUUAACUUCAGAAUUAAAAUAAACUCAGAAUUAAAAAAAUAAAAAAUGGUUUUAUUACAUGUCAGAGUAUUGAGAUACAAAAUAUAUACCAGAU